Molecule: non-coding RNA, 617 nt
Organism: Megalobrama amblycephala (Wuchang bream)
Lineage: Eukaryota; Metazoa; Chordata; Actinopteri; Cypriniformes; Xenocyprididae
Source: the annotation of a RefSeq genome assembly
AACUCUGUUUUUAUAAGAACUUUAUAACACUGUGAAUCUGAACCAACAGCAACCAUGAGCUUCAUCACCAUCUUCAUCUGGAUAUUAACUAUCUACUGUUUCACAGAAUCAAGAGGUGAAGUGACAGUCACUCAGACGCCUGCAGUGAAAUCUGUUCGUCCAGGAGACUCAGUUACUGUAUCCUGUAAAACCAGUCCUGACGUCUAUCAGAGUUGGGGUUAUCAGCCUCUAGCCUGGUACUUACAGAAACCUGGAGAAGCUCCUAAACUCCUGAUUUAUAAAGCAAACCUCCUCCAGUCAGGAACUCCAUCUAGAUUCAGUGGCAGUGGAUCUAACAGUGAUUUCACUCUGACCAUCAGUGGAGUCCAGACUGAAGAUGCUGGACAUUAUUACUGUCAGAGUGUACACUGUCCUAGUAGCUGUGUGUUCACACAGUAAUAAAGAGUCGUACAAAAACCUCCGUCAGUCAGAGUCACAGUGACUGAACUGAUACUGCAGCUGCUCACACACUUUCACACACACUCAACAGUGAAGAUUUUCAUAAAUAUUAAAUUAUAUAUAAAGCAUUCAAGUUUUUUCACAUGGUAAAUACUUAAACUAUAAAACUCUUUAUCUUA